This 582-nucleotide long non-coding RNA is filed under the name Vitis vinifera (wine grape). Its description in RNAcentral is "long non-coding RNA (VVIN_LNC005097)". The record is from RNAcentral. Lineage: Eukaryota; Viridiplantae; Streptophyta; Magnoliopsida; Vitales; Vitaceae.
UUGGAGUCACUGAGACUCUGGAACCUAAGGCAGUUCAUGGUACAUUGGGCAACAGUGAAGACGUCUUGGAUUUUACCCGGGAACCAGUGUCUACCAUUACUGCUGACAGUGCUGAUGCUUCUGAAUUGAAGGCUGAUAGUUUUGGGGAAGGGUCUGCCCAUGGACCACCCAAAACACCUGGUGCUGGUAUCACUAAUCAUAUAAAAGACACUCGUAAUGAAAAGCAGUCUGAUUUUUCUUUGCAAAAUGAAUUAUCAAAAUAUUCAACUGUGGCAAUAGAAGGACAAGGAGAAAGUGAAUUGCCUGAAGGGUUCAAACAAGAUGCCCAUUGUUUAGAGAAGUCAUCAGAAUCAAUUUCCUCUAUAUCUCUAGAAGCUGUUAAACAACCUGUACCAGAUUCUGAGUUGAAGGUAACAACAAGCAGCAUUGAGGUUGGAUUAGUGGAAACUGCACAGGAGGUGGAUGUUUCUGUCAGUUGUUGCACAGAAAUUGAUAGGACAACUGAAAAUUCAGUGGCACCUACUCCCACAACUUUGGAAUCCAUAAAUGUUGAAACUGUUCCAUCCAAUGCUGUAUUACCCA